Molecule: ribosomal RNA, 327 nt
Filed under: Triticum aestivum (bread wheat)
Lineage: Eukaryota; Viridiplantae; Streptophyta; Magnoliopsida; Poales; Poaceae
Description: partial small subunit ribosomal RNA
Source: RNAcentral
AUGGCGGAGUUCAAGCACCUUUGCAUGGCCAAGUUCAAGGAAGGCGUCGUGGUGGAGGACAUCAUCCAGGAGCUCACCAAGCUCGCCGCGGAGCUCGACACCGUCAAAUACUUCGGCUGGGGCAAGGACGUGCUGAACCAAGAGGCGCUCACGCAGGGCUUCACCCACGUCUUCGUGAUGACCUUCGCCAGCGCCGAGGACCUGGCGGCGUGCAUGGGCCAUGAGAAGCACUCUGCGUUCGCCGCCACCUUCAUGGCCGCGCUCGACAAGGUCGUCGUCAUGGACUUCCCCUUGGUCUUCGUCAAGCCGGCGCCGCCGCCUGCCUGA